Molecule: long non-coding RNA, 497 nt
Organism: Melanotaenia boesemani (Boeseman's rainbowfish)
Lineage: Eukaryota; Metazoa; Chordata; Actinopteri; Atheriniformes; Melanotaeniidae
Exons: 3
Source: RefSeq, a predicted model, not a curated record
AUUUAAACCUCUAAAAUUACUUAUAGGAUCACAGCAGUGGCGGCUGGCCAGCAGGGGGCGCUGGGGCGCCGCCCUCACCUACAAAGAGUCCAUAUUCCUGGUUACUACACAAUUAAAAAAAACAAACUGUUAGGAAUAAUUUCGGAUGAAGAUAUGUGUAAAAUAAUGUAUUUUUUUUAGCUUUUUGUGCAUGUUAAGCGCAUUACACAGUGUUUCUUUUUAAUGAUUUUUCAUUGAACAACACUUCCUGGUUGCGGGGGCGCCGGUCAAAUGAAUCCCUAUUGUCAGCCUCAAACUUUUGACUAAAACGUCACUGGAGGCUGCGUUUUGAUUGGUUCGUUAAAAAUCUGCUUGUGGCGCAGCUCGGUGCGCCCCGGAUACGCCCACUUUUCAUCGUCAGCCAAUUAGAAUAGUUGAAUUAUGUUGCUUCAGUGUGUUUGGACAAUGUCAUGGUCAAUUAUACACUCCUGUAUUUUAAGCCAGUGUGACGUACAUCC